Zophobas morio is the source of this 453-nucleotide long non-coding RNA. RefSeq lists it as uncharacterized. NCBI's taxonomy places the organism in Eukaryota, Metazoa, Arthropoda, Insecta, Coleoptera, Tenebrionidae. The transcript is spliced from 3 exons. The record is from RefSeq and is a predicted model, not a curated record.
AAUAUAUAAUUGCACUGAUUGUAAUUGCGUUCCUUGAAUUUUUUGUGUGUACCUAAGUGCGUGACAAUUUUGGACGACCUAAAGGUGUUUUGAAAAUGGCAUCCCUGCAAUUGUACGAACAGAGGAACUACUUGUAUGUCCUCCACAUCCAUGCCAAAAUGUCACUUGUAAGCCGCCUCCCAAAUGUGAUUGCCCCAAUUACGAGAUAGGACCUGGAGGUUUUUGUGGAUGUUGUAAACAGUGCAUUCAUAUUUUGCAACAAAACGAAAGCUGCUGGAUGACACAAAUAAGGGGUGCAAGGCCACCAUCCGAAAAAUGUGCUGCAGGACUGAUAUGUAAGGAUGGAAUAUGUCAAAAGUUGUCGUAAUUUUUGCUGAAAUUUCAAUAUAUAAAACACGUUUAUUUACAGACAUUGUAUUUUAUUCUAUUAAUAUAAAAACUAUCUCAUUAAAA